AAGAUAUUUGAUAUAUUUGAUGUGCCAAAUUAUAUUACGAUUUAGUAAAUUAAAUAGAGAGCUAUAAAAAAUUUCUUUGAUAUCUUUUAGGAACCUAGGAUUCUAAGGACAUCUGGUCCUCUUGAGGAAUGAAGUCGGAAAGGUAAUGAAAUCGAAUUUUUAAAUUUUAGAGGAUGGCUUAUUGCGAUUUGGGAUAGAGUGUGUGUUCGAAAUGACCCAAAUUAUGAUUUGAAUAUUAAGAGGAAAUGGCAUGACUCAAUGAUAUCGAUGACUCAUUCAAUAAAUUUAGAAAGGGCAACUAUGAGAAAGGUGGUAUCGGAGCAUGAUUUAAGGAUUACUAAUAUAUUUGAUUCAUUUGAUGUGCAAAAUGAUAUUGAGGUUUAGUAAAAGACAUCUGGUCCUUUUGAGGAAUGAAGUAGGAAAGGUAGUGAAGUCGAAAUUUUAAAUUUUCGAGGAUGGCUUAUUGAGAUUUGGGAUUGAGUGUGUUUUCGAUCUAACCCAAAUUAUAAUUUGAAUAUUAUCAUAAAAGGGUAUGAAUUAAUGAUAUUGAUGGCCUCUAUCUAUGUGCAAUCUGAUCUCUUUCAAUAAAUUUAGAAAUGGUAUCUAAGGGAUACACAUUUAAUCUACUUGAGGAUUGAACUAGAAAAUUGAUUGAAGUCGAAUUUUUAAAUUUUGGACGAUGGCAUUUUGUGUUUUGGGAAAGAGUUUGUGUUCUAAAUGAUCAAAUUAUCAAUAACCAAAUCCUGAAGCAAAGUCAUAAUUCAAAGUAUGUGAUAAUUUGUAUUAUGGAGUUUUAGACAAGGUCACACUUCUUGUAUAUAAUAAUUUGGGGGGCUUGUCAAAAGUGGUAUCGGAGCAUGAUUUAAGAAUUACUAAGAUAUUUGAUUCAUUUUAUGUGAAAAAUUAUAUUGAGGUUUAGUAAAGACAUCUGGUCUUCAUGAGGAAUGAAGUAGGAAAGGUAGUGAAGUCGAAUUUUUAAAUUUUAGAGGAUGGCUUUUUGAGAUUUGGGAUAGGCUGUGUUUUCGAACUGACCCAAAUUAUGAUUUGAAUAUUAUGAUAAAAGGGCAUGAUUUAAUGAUUUUGAUGGCUCUAUCUAUGUGCAAUCUGAUCUCAUUCAACAAAUUUAGAAAUGGCAACUAUGAGAUCCACAUAUAGUCUACUUGAGGAAUGAAGUAGAAAAGGAAUUUAAGUCGAAUUUUUAAACUUUGGAGGAUGGCCUUUUGAGUUUUGGAAUAGAGUAUGUGUUCUAAAUGAUCCAAUUAUCAAUAACCAAAUCCUGAAGCAGGGUAAUAAUUCAAAGUAUGUGAUAAUACGGAUUAGAUUGUUGAUUACAUUUUUAUUUUAUGGAUUUUAAGAAAAGCUCGCACCUCUUGUAAGUGAUAAUUUAGGGGGCGUGACAAAGGUGUUAUCGGAGCAUGAUUUAAGAUUUACUAAGAUAUUUGAUUCAUUUGAUGUGCAAAAUGAUAUAGAGGUUUAGGAAAGUCAUCUGGUCCUCUUGAGGAAUGAAGUAGGAAAGGUAGUGAAGUCGAAAUUUUAAAUUUUCGAGGAUGGCUUAUUGAGAUUUGGGAUUGAGUGUGUGUUCGAACUGACCCAAAUUAUGAUUUGAAUAGUAUGAUAAAAGGGCAUGACUUAAUGAUAUUGAUGACCUCUUUCUAUGUGCAAUCUGAUCUCUUUCAACAAAUUUAGAAACGGCAUCUAAGGGAUACACAUUUAAUCUACCUGACAAAUGAAGUAGAAAAGGGAUUGAAGUCGAAUUUUUAAAUUUUGGACGAUGGCCUUUUGUGUUUUGGGAUAUAGUAUGUUUUCUAAAUGACCCAAUUAUCAAUAACCAAAUCCUGAAGCAAAGUCAUAAUUCAAAGUAUGUGAUAAUUUGAGGAUCAGAUUGUUGAUUACAUUUUAAUUUUUUUGAUUUUCAGACAAGGUCACACCUCUUGUAUAUGAUAAUUUGGGGGGCGUGACAAAGGUGGUAUCGGAGCAUGAUUUAAGGAUUACUAAGAUAUUUGAUUCAUUUGAUGUUCAAAAUUAUAUUGAGGUUUAGUAAAUUAUAUAGAGAUCGAUGAAAAUUAUAUUUGAUGUCUUCUAGGAAUCUAGGAUGACAUCGACAUUUGGUCUUCUUGCUUAUGAAUUGUGGAUUAUGGGUGUGAAUUAUGACUUGAACGAUUUUUGGUGUCCCCAUAUUUAGUUUGGAUUUUGUAUUAGAUUGUUGAUUAAAUUUUAAUAUUUUGGAUUUUAAGACAGGGUCCCACCUCCUAAAUGUGAUAAUUCGGGGGGCGUGACAAAGGUGGUAUCAGAACAUUAUUUGAGGAUCACUGUAAGAUAUUUGAUACAUUUGAUUUGCCAAAUUAUAUUACGAUUUAGUAAAUUAAAUAGAGAGCGAUAAAAUAUUUCUUUGAUAUCUUUUAGGAACCUAGGAUUCCAAGGACAUCUGGUCCCCUUGAGGAAUGAAGUCGGAAAGGUAAUGAAAUCGAAUUUUUAAAUUUUAGAGGAUGGAUUAUUACAAUUUGGGAUAGAGUUUGUGUUCAAAAUGACCCGAAUUAUGAUUUGAAUAUUAAGAGGAAAUGGCAUGACUCAAUGAUAUCGAUGGCUCUAUCUAUGUGCAAUCUGAUCUCAUUCAACAAAUUUAGAAAGGGCAACUAUGAGAUCCACAUAUAAUCUACUUGAGGAAUGAAGUAGAAAAGGAAUUUAAGUUGAAUUUUUAAAUUUUGGAGGAUGGCCUUUUGAGUUUUGGAAUAGAGUAUGUGUUCUAAAUGAUCCAAUUAUCAAUAACCAAAUCCUGAAGCAGGGUAAUAAUUCAAAGUAUGUGAUAAUACGGAUUAGAUUGUUGAUUACAUUUUUAUUUUAUUGAUUUUAAGACAAGCUCGCACCUCUUGUAUGUGAUAAUUUGGGGGGCGUGACAAAGGUGGUAUCGGAGCAUGAUUUAAGGAUUACUAAGAUAUUUGAUUCAUUUGAUGUGCAAAAUGAUAUAGAGGUUUAGGAAAGACAUCUGGUUCUCUUGAGGAAUGAAGUAGGAAAGGUAGUGAAGUCGAAAUUUAAAUUUUCGAGGAUGUCUUAUUGAGAUUUGGGAUUGAGUGUGUGUUCGAAGUGACCCAAAUUAUGAUUUGAAUAUUAUCAUAAAAGGUCAUGACUUAAUGAUAUUGAUGGCCUCUAUCUAUGUGCAAUCAGAUCUCUUUCAACAAAUUUAGAAACGGCAUCUAAGGGAUACACAUUUAAUCUACUUGACAAAUGAAGUAUAAAAGGGAUUGAAGUCGAAUUUUUAAAUUUUGGACGAUGGCCUUUUGUGUUUUGGGAUAUAUUAUGUUUUCUAAAUGACCCAAUUAUCAAUAACCAAAUCCUGAAUCAAAGUCAUAAUUCAAAGUAUGUGAUAAUUUGAGGAUCAGAUUGUUGAUUACAUUUUAAUUUUAUGGAUUUUUAGACAAGGUCAAACCUCUUGUAUAUGAUAAUUUGGGCGGCGUGACAAAGGUGGUAUCGGAGCAUGAUUUAAGAAUUACUAAGAUAUUUGAUUAAUUUGAUAUUCAAAAUUAUAUUGAGGUUUAGUAAAUUAUAUAGAGAUCGAUGAAAAUUAUAUUUGAUGUCUUUUAGGAAUCUAGGAUGACAUCGACAUUUGGUCUUCUUGCUUAUGAAUUGUGGAUUAUGGGUGUGAAUUAUGACUUGAACGAUUUUUGGUGUCCCCAUAUUUAGUUUGGAUUUUGUAUUAGAUUGUUGAUUAAAUUUUAAUAUUAUGGAUUUUAAGACAGAGUCACACCUCCUAAAUGUGAUAAUUCGGGGGGCGUGACAGAGGUGGUAUCAGAACAUUAUUUGAGGAUCACUGUAAGAUAUUUGAUACAUUUGAUGUGCCAAAUUAUAUUGCGAUUUAGUAAAUUAAAUAGAGAGCGAUAAAAAAUUUCUUUGAUAUCUUUUAGGAACCUAAGAUUCCAAGAACAUCUGGUCCUCUUGAGGAAUGAAGUCGGAAAGGUAACGAAAUAGAAUUUUUAAAUUUUAGAGGAUGGCUUAUUGCGAUUUGGGAUAGAGUGUGUGUUCGAAAUGACCCAAAUUAUGAUUUGAAUAUUAAGAGGAAAGGGCAUGACUCAAUGAUAUCGAUGGCUCUAUCUAUGUGCAAUCUGAUCUCAUUUAACAAUUUUAGAAAGGGCAACUAUGAGAUCCACAUAUAAUCUACUUGAGGAAUGAAGUAGAAAAGGAAUUUAAGUCGAAUUUUUAAAUUUUGGAGGAUGGCCUUUUGAGUUUAGGAAUAGAGUAUGUGUUCUAAAUGAUCCAAUUAUCAAUAACCAAAUCCUGAAGCAGGGUAAUAAUUCAAAGUAUGUGAUAAUACGGAUUAGAUUGUUGAUUACAUUUUUAUUUUAUGGAUUUUAAGACAAGGUCGCACCUCUUGUAUGUGAUAAUUUGGGGGGCGUGACAAUGGUGGUAUCGGAGCAUGAUUUAAGGAUACUAAGAUAUUUGAUUCAUUUGAUGUGCAAAAUGAUAUUGAGGUUUAGUAAAGACAUCUGGUCCUCUUGAGGAAUGAAGUAGGAAAGGUAGUGAAGUCGAAAUUUUAAAUUUUCGAGGAUGGCUUAUUGAGAUUUGGGAUUGAGUGUGUGUUCGAUCUGACCCAAAUUAUGAUUUAAAUAUUAUCAUAAAAGGAC
This 4616-nucleotide long non-coding RNA is filed under the name Musa acuminata (dwarf banana). RNAcentral describes it as "long non-coding RNA (MACU_LNC004247)". The record is from RNAcentral. Lineage: Eukaryota; Viridiplantae; Streptophyta; Magnoliopsida; Zingiberales; Musaceae.